RNAcentral lists this ribosomal RNA (429 nucleotides) under Bacteroidota bacterium. RNAcentral's name for it is "Bacteroidetes bacterium partial 16S ribosomal RNA". It matches the Rfam family "Bacterial small subunit ribosomal RNA", at positions 355 to 776 of the family's 1533-position model. Lineage: Bacteria; Pseudomonadati; Bacteroidota. The record is from RNAcentral.
UAGGGAAUCUUCCGCAAUGGACGCAAGUCUGACGGAGCAACGCCGCGUGAGUGAAGAAGGAUUUCGGUUCGUAAAACUCUGUUGUUAGAGAAGAACAGCGCAUAGAGUAACUGUUAUGCGUGUGACGGUAUCUAACCAGAAAGCCACGGCUAACUACGUGCCAGCAGCCGCGGUAAUACGUAGGUGGCAAGCGUUGUCCGGAUUUAUUGGGCGUAAAGCGAGCGCAGGCGGUCAAUUAAGUCUGAUGUGAAAGCCCACGGCUCAACCGUGGAGGGUCAUUGGAAACUGGAAAACUUGAGUGCAGAAGAGGAAAGUGGAAUUCCAUGUGUAGCGGUGAAAUGCGCAGAGAUAUGGAGGAACACCAGUGGCGAAGGCGACUUUCUAGUCUGUAACUGACGCUGAUGUGCGAAAGCGUGGGGAUCAAACAGG